RNAcentral lists this ribosomal RNA (2022 nucleotides) under Oxymonas sp. Glx476OxC. Its description in RNAcentral is "SSU rRNA". It matches the Rfam family "Eukaryotic small subunit ribosomal RNA". Lineage: Eukaryota; Preaxostyla; Oxymonadida; Oxymonadidae. The record is from RNAcentral.
UCAAAGAUUAAGCCAUGCAUGUCUCAGUAUAAGCAACUUGUACGUGUGAAACUGCGAAUGGCUCAUUAAAUCAGUUAUAAUUUAUUUGAUAGUGGUUUUACUACAUGGAUAGCCGUAGUAAUUCUAGAGCUAAUACAUGCAUAGAGGCCCGACUCGUGAGGGAAGGGUUGUAUUUAUUAGAUCGAAAACCAACGCAGGGGCUGGGAGAGUAAAAUCUUUCAGUCCUGAAUAUAUGGUGAGUCAUGAUAAAUGUCGAAUCGAAUUUUAUUCGAUGUGUCAUUCAAAUUUCUGCCCUAUCAACUUGUUGGUAGGAUAGAGGCCUACCAUGGUUUUGACGGGUAACGGAGGAUUAGGGUUCGAUUCCGGAGAGGGAGCCUGAGAAAUGGCUACCACUUCUAAGGAAGGCAGCAGGCGCGCAAAUUACCCAAUCCCAAUCCUAUUGGGGAGGUAGUGACAAAAAAUACCGAUGCUGGGUCUUCGGAUUCAGUAAUUGGAAUGGUUUGGAAGCAAAUCGUCCAUAGAGCAGCCAUUAGAGGGCAAGUCUGGUGCCAGCAGCCGCGGUAAUUCCAGCUCUAAUAGUGUAUACUAAAAUUGCUGCAGUUAAAAAGCUCGUAGUUGGAUUUUGGAUGGAACAAGAUACCUUUAUGUUUUUGCCGUGUGUGUUGUUGUGUGGCGUACCUGUUUCUAGAGGUCGUGCAUGACACUUGCAUGGUCGUAAAGGUUGUUCCGUCCCUGUCGAAAGACAUUUUUUUCGGAAGUAUUUCGUCCCCUUAACUGGUGGAAGGAGUGUUUUCGGAGGGUUUACUUUGAAGAAAUUGUAGUGUUUAAAGCAGGCGUUUCGCAGCUGAACACAUUAGCAUGGAAUAAUAAAAUAGGACAUCUGAGUUAGGUACUUGUUCAUUCUCCGCUGUUAAUCUUCCAAGGGCGUUCCUGGGAGUUGGAGGGGUAGUGCGUGCUUCUGUGCGUGCUGUCUUUUUGCUUCCAGCUUGAGCGUUCUUGAGGUUGGCAGUUUUUCAAAGGAGGGUGGGAGAGAGGCUUAGCUAUCGUUAGUAUAUCUAUUUUGUUGGUUUAUGGAGAAGGUGUAAUGAUUAAUAGGGACAGUUGGAGGCAUCCGUAUUGCAUUGUCAGAGGUGAAAUUCUUGGAUUUAUGCAAGACGAACUAGUGCGAAAGCAUUUGCCAAGGAUGUUUUCAUUAAUCAAGAACGAAAGUUAGGGGAUCGAAGGCGAUCAGAAACCGCCGUAGUCUUAACUAUAAACUAUACCAACUAGGGAUUGGAGAGUGUCUUUUAAUGGCCUCGUCAGCACCUUUAGAGAAAUCAAAGUCUCUGGGUUCUGGGGGGAGUAUGGUCGCAAGGCUGAAACUUAAAGAAAUUGGCGGAAGGGCACCACCAGGUGUGGAGCCUGCGGCUUAAUUCGACUCAACACGGGGAAACUCACCAGGUCCAGACACGGGAAGGAUUGACAGAUUGAUAGCUUUUUCUUGAUUCUGUGGGUGGUGGUGCAUGGUCGUUCUUAGUUGGUGGAGUGAUUUGUCUGGUUAAUUCCGAUAACGAACGAGACCUUAACCUGCUAAAUAGCCCAGUCUCAAAAUUCUGUUUUGAGAUAAACGGCGUUUUUGUUUCUUUCGGGGGACAUUGCGUCGAGGGCUUCUUAGAGGGACUACCAUGGUUGCACAUGGUGGAAGCUUGAGGCAAUAACAGGUCUGUGAUGCCCUUAGAUGUCCUGGGCCGCACGCGCGCUACAAUGAUGCAAUCAACAAGGUUGUGCUUGCCCGAAAGGGUCGGCUAAUCUUUUCAGCCUGCAUCGUACUGGGGAUUGAUCUUUGCAAUUUUGGAUCAUGAACUAGGAAUACCUAGUAAGUGCAUGUCAUCAGCAUGCGCUGAUUACGUCCCUGCCCUUUGCACACACCGCCCGUCGCUCCUACCGAUUGAAUGAUCAGAUGAAAUGCUUGGAUGCGUGGUGCGCGAUCUCUUCCAAGGGGUUGUGUGCUGUGCAGAAGAGUAGUAAAUCUUAUUAUUUAGA